Pelobates cultripes (western spadefoot toad) is the source of this 100-nucleotide non-coding RNA. NCBI's taxonomy places the organism in Eukaryota, Metazoa, Chordata, Amphibia, Anura, Pelobatidae. The record is from the annotation of a GenBank genome assembly.
UCCAACAGCAUUCUGCUCACGGGAGAAGUGAAGACAGCCUGCAGACAGAGGAGCUGCAGGCUGCCUUCACUUCUCUCGCGUGCAGAAUGCUGUGUCGGAG